This 773-nucleotide ribosomal RNA is filed under the name uncultured Neocallimastigales. RNAcentral describes it as "partial large subunit ribosomal RNA". It matches the Rfam family "Eukaryotic large subunit ribosomal RNA", at positions 26 to 614 of the family's 3401-position model. Lineage: Eukaryota; Fungi; Neocallimastigomycota; Neocallimastigomycetes; Neocallimastigales. The record is from RNAcentral.
CGCAUCUGUGCAUGCAGCAUAUCAAUAAGCGGAGGAAAAGAAACUAACAAGGAUUCCCCUAGUAACGGCGAGUGAAGCGGGAAGAGCUCAAAUUUGAAAUCUUAAAGGGUUUCCCUUUACGAAUUGUAGUUUAAAGAAGUGUUUUCUGUUGAGGUUUUGGUAAAAGUUCUUUGGAAUAGGACAUCAUAGAGGGUGAGAAUCCCGUAUUUGACCUUUACUUUCAACUUUGUGAUACACUUUCAAAGAGUCGGAUUGUUUGGGAAUGCAGUCCAAAAUGGGUGGUAAAUUUCAUCUAAAGCUAAAUAUUGGCGAGAGACCGAUAGCGAACAAGUACCGUGAGGGAAAGAUGAAAAGAACUUUGAAAAGAGAGUUAAGCAGUACGUGAAAUUGUCAAAAGGGAAGCGUUUGACACCAGUGUUGUUUUUCUGAAAAUCAAUUAAAGAACUGUUUAUGCUAAGCUGUUUAGACUUUAUCAGCUAUCUGUCUAGUUUUGAGCUUUUCUUUAAUGCACUUUUCAGUUAACAAGUCAACAUCAAUUCUUUUGCUGUAAAAAAGCUUGAGGAAGGUGGCUUGAGAUUCGUCUUAAGUGUUUAUAGCCUCUUGCCUAUGCAGUCGGAGAGAUUGAGGUCUGCAGCGUAGAUCCUUCGGGGCUAAAUGCAUUUGUGCUAAGUUAUAGCAUUUUAUAGACAACUUGUUGACUAUGAUUUGUCUUGUAGCUUACUCGCUUAUGUUAUUUUACCUACGCUUAGGAUGUUGAGUCAUCACACAUCUCU